GUUUUAUUGUUGAAAAGAUUCAGGACAAAGGGGAUAACAUAACACAAUCAAAAAGAGGAGAUGAAAAUUCUUCAGAUUUUAAGAAGAAAGCUCUCUUCUUCGCAGAUCCGAAGCACAGCUACUCCUUCACUAUCUUCGCCUCUCUUCUAUCGUCAUCUUCACUCCUCUUCAAAUCCGUACUUAAUUUAUCUCUAUCUCUUAUGUGUUUUUGCUAUAGUUUUAUGAAAAUCCAUAAUCUCUUGAUGCAGAGCUUCAUUCGGCGUAGCGUUCGACAUUGACGGCGUUUUGCUCCGUGGGAGCAACCCUAUCGGAGGCUCUCCUCGAGCUCUCAAACGCUUCUAUGAUGAUUCCGGCACUCUGAAGGUUCCCUAUGUAUUCUUGACCAAUGGAGGUGGUGUUCCUGAAUCUAAAAGAGCAAAGGAGUUGGGAAGUUUGUUGGAUGUUAAUAUCCUACCUUUACAGGUUAUACAAGGGCAUUCACCGUUCAAACAGUUGAUGAGAAGAUUUGAGAAUGAGCGUAUUGUUGCUGUUGGAAAAGGAGAACCCGCUGAAGUGAUGUCUGAAUAUGGUUUUAAAAAUGUUCUCUCCAUAGAUGAGUAUGCAUCUUAUUUUGACAACAUUGACCCAUUGGCACAAUACAAAAAAUGGACAGACAAGCUGGAUGGUAAUCAGAGUAGCAAUUCUAAGCAUAUAGCUUUGAGCAAUGAUCCAUGCUCGCAGAGAGUGGCGGCGGUCUUUGUUGUUAGCGAUUCUGUUGAUUGGAGCAGGGACAUUCAGGUUCUCUGUGACAUUCUAAGGACUGGAGGGCUGCCAGGAAAAGAUAUUGCACAUCAGCCACCACUCUUUUUUGCAAAUGAUGACCUUGCCUAUCAGGCCUUGUUUCCAUCCGAAAGACUUGGCAUGGGUGCUUUCAGAAUUGCAGUAGAAUCCGUCUUCAAUGCUAUCCAUCCUGCUGCUCUGAAGUAUACGUCAUAUGGGAAACCAAAUCCUUCUGUAUUUAAAAAUGCGGAGACAGUUCUGAUGCAUGUUCUACAAUCAUGUCACACUAACCAUCAGGUUGAUGGAAGAAAGCAGCUUUUCAAAACCUUAUAUAUGAUUGGUGAUAACCCCUUAGUUGAUAUCAAAGGAGCUCGACAGGCUGGAAGUCCUUGGUUCUCUAUUUUGACAAGAACUGGUGUCUUCAAGGGGAAAGAAAAUCAUGACGAUUUUCCAGCAGAUCUGGUUGUUGACACUGUGGAAGAAGCAGUAGACUACAUUUUGAGCAAGGAGUGUAUCUUAUGAUGCACAUCUGGUAAAAUUGUCACCGUGUUUUUACCUUAGAUAUGUUAAUCGGACUAAUUUCCAUGAGGAAGAUGGUGGUCGUCCUAGCUUUACAAGUAGACAUUUAUAUGCCUCUUUUUGGCGUGUGAUUUUUUUUUUCUUUUCAAUUUAUUCUUAUUUGCAAUAAAGCAUUGGUGAGAGCUCUGCACCUGCUGAAGAAACAGGUGCGACAAACCUGAUUCUUAGAUCUGAG
This 1513-nucleotide unclassified non-coding RNA is filed under the name Hevea brasiliensis (rubber tree). Lineage: Eukaryota; Viridiplantae; Streptophyta; Magnoliopsida; Malpighiales; Euphorbiaceae. The record is from RNAcentral.